Molecule: long non-coding RNA, 3057 nt
Organism: Mus musculus (house mouse)
Lineage: Eukaryota; Metazoa; Chordata; Mammalia; Rodentia; Muridae
Product: predicted gene 29040
Exons: 3
Source: RefSeq, a predicted model, not a curated record
CAUGCUUUAGACUAGUCUCAAACUUGUGAGCUCAUGUGAUCCUUCUGCAUCGGCCUCCCUAGACGAUGGGACCAUAAGUGUGCAUAAUCAACAUGAAACACAAUCUUGUAUUAUACGUAUCCAAACUGCUCAGUUUUAAAGUCAGAGGAGCUUGCCUCAAACUGACAACUCGAUUCUGAGGGACUGGAAACAAGAAAGCAAUAGCUUCCCCAUGAGUAGCCGAGGCAGAGCCUCCUCAGAGAGGUGUCAUGCACAGGGAGCAUGGUAAGAGAAAGGAAAGUAGACGGCAGUGACACAGCAAUGCAAGGAGACAGGUAGGGAGAAGCAAGGGGAGAGCAAGGCCAAGAACUUGUUCAUGGCAGUAGGAGCUCUUCAGGCCAGGGUGAAUGGUCUACAGGAAUCUGACAUGACUCAUGGUUCUUUCUAAGAAGGUGACUCCAUUGACUUUGGCCUGACCCUGACUGUGAGUGAACAGCGAUGUGGCCGAUGAGCUAAUCUGAGGGAAAACAAAAGCUGAGAGAAGACAACUGUAAGCUUGGAUGUGUUCGGGGCAUCUGGAGAGGCAGCCCAUGUAAGGCCAGGUCCAACAUUCGUGAUCCAGGAUGAAGAAGGGAAAGGAUUCAGCCAUCCACAGUGACACAGAGGUCUCAGAGAAUCGAGAGUGCUCAGAGACAUGCCAAGAGCACAUGAUUGACAGGGAAGGCAACUCCUGGGAUGGAAGCCAGCCGCUCCUCUUGGUUCAGUGCCACUGGCCAGGCUGGCACACAGGAACACGUGCUCACAUCUCCCUUUGCUGGAGCAGCUGUCAAGUACUUGGCCUUUGACAUGACCUUUGGGGAUCCUCGCUGACUUGCUUCAGGCAGGGGUUUUCCAUGAAUUCAUGUGAUGCUGAUUUCCACACAAGACUCCUUAUUUUUUUCCAUGUAAAACACAGACAUUAUACCCUAAACAUUUACAGUGUAAGAGAUGAAUUGUUCAUUUAGAUGGUUCCAAUUUCAUUGCUGAUUUUUCUGUAAGUUUACCUGUAUUUUUGAUGUUUCUAACUGGUAUGUCAAAACCUCAAAAUGGAGAAACUGGGUGAUUUGCAUUGUGAUCUCUGCAGUCAAAAUGGGCCAUGAAAAUACUGUUUAGAUUUUUAGACUGUUUACAUCUGAGCUGGGGGGAGAAGUGGCCAGUAGGGAGCCAGAGUCAGAACACUGGAAUUCACAACUACUUGGAAGUUUAGUUGCCAUAAAUUCCUUAGGAAAACAGCUUGGGUUGGGGGCUAGUGUGUACACCUAUGUAAUGUAUAAGAUUGGAGGCUGAAAGGGAACUUCAGAGGUAUUGUGGGGGUUUGAAUGGUUGAGAAUGGCCUAAGUAGGCUCUUAUGUUUGAAUAUUUGGUCCCCAGUUAGUGGAACUCUUUGGGAAGAAUUAGUAGGUGUGGCCUUGUUUGGAAGAGGUGUGUCAUUAUGGGUAGGCUUUGAGGUUUCAAAAGCUCAUGCCAUUCCCAGCUAUCUAUCUCUGCCUUGUGGUUAUUCCAAGAUGUAAGCUUUCAGCUACUGCUCUGUCCCCAUGCCUGUCUUGCCUGUGCCAUGCUCCUAUCAUGAUAGGCAUGAAACUGUAAUCCCCAAUUAGUAUCUUCUUUUAUAAGUUGCUUUGGUCAUGGUGUCUCUUUGUCACCAUGUAACCAAGACAAUAGUGUUUACAGGAGGUAAACACUUCUCAUUAUUCCUCUGUACUGAUCUUCACAUGGUGGCAAUUUCAUAUGGCUCAAGUGAAUAGCACUGUGGGAAAUGAGAAGGUGGUGGUAGUGUUAGAAGACAGACAACACCACUGCACAGAAGGGGUGUGGCUCUUCCCAUCCAGCAACUCUAAAACCAGGCAGGAGAUUUGAUUCAGCAGUGGUCAAAACCAGUUCUCAAAUAUUUAGAGGACUUAAGAUAUACUGGGAGAACUAAGAUGCAAAUGAGUUGCAGAAGAUUUAUUUACUAUUAAAACUAAAGGGUAGUUCUGAAGCCUCAUGUCUUCCAUGAUCCAAUGACCUGAGACUUCAGUAAUGGUAGUAAGGUCAAGAAAGAGAAUCAGACUGACAAUGUAGGUAAACAGCGUCUUUGAGACCAAGAUUGUACAUGAGGGAUACGUAACUGAGGUCAUAGUGUUUAUUUGGUGCAUAAACUAUAUAUUAAACGUCCUUAACUUCAGCAGCAGGUAUGACUGUGUGUGCCGCAUGCUGGGGUCAGGACAGUAUAGAUGGAAGGACUAAUAAAAAGAGACAAAGCAAAAAUCCAUGUUAGUGGGCACUGAUAAACACCUCUAUGAACUCCUCGUAUCCCUGUGACCAGAGGAUAGGGCAGUGAAGGCCUUGGGAUGUUUCAUGUUCUGGUGCCCACCAGAUCCUAGCUGACAGAUAUUGAUCAAAACUGCCAGUUGGAUGCUAACUCCUCAUUCCUGAUAAUUAAACUGGAAAGGACUUCAAACUGUGAGAACAAAGAGUGCAGACAGACAGCCUCAGACUGCUCAAAAUAUCUUCCCCAGGGUCCCUCAGUAGGUAGCCCUUUCCAAGAAUGUGUUUAUCAAAAGGGCAACUGGAAACUUUGCUUUCCUAUGAACUCUGCUAACUUGCAACUUGAGAUAGCCACAGAUUGCCUCUCUUCAGAGAAGUAUACUAACUAUUUAUAAUUUCAGCUGGGACUGUCACCUCCCCUCUAUGGCUAAAAGUUAGGACACAUCCAUUUGCCCGUCCAGGUUAUGAGUGGUCUUGGAUGUGCCUGCUGCCCAGCUAACUGCAAAUGUUUCGUUGUAGAUACAUUCUUGUUCAGACUGGAAAACCAUAGUCUAAGAUGCUUCCAGAAGCAACUGUUCUGUCUCUACCCCUUGGGGUACUUUCAAGAACUGUCUACCACCAGAGGAACUUAUCUGACUUGCACUACAAUAUACUGUCAAGACACAAGAGGCCAGCAAGCAUGAUUUUGUACUGGAAUUUUACAUCUUCCUACUAAGGCUCCAAUUGGAACCUUGAAUUUUUUUAUACAAGGGAAAAAAUGGAUCAUACAUCUAUUAGAGUAGCAGGGUCCUG